UGCAGUCGAACGGAAGGCCCAGCUUGCUGGGUACUCGAGUGGCGAACGGGUGAGUAACACGUGGGUGAUCUGCCCUGCACUCUGGGAUAAGCCUGGGAAACUGGGUCUAAUACCGGAUAUGACCAACUGUCGCAUGGUGGUUGGUGGAAAGCUUUUGCGGUGUGGGAUGGGCCCGCGGCCUAUCAGCUUGUUGGUGGGGUAAUGGCCUACCAAGGCGACGACGGGUAGCCGACCUGAGAGGGUGAUCGGCCACACUGGGACUGAGACACGGCCCAGACUCCUACGGGAGGCAGCAGUGGGGAAUAUUGCACAAUGGGCGCAAGCCUGAUGCAGCGACGCCGCGUGAGGGAUGACGGCCUUCGGGUUGUAAACCUCUUUCACCAGGGACGAAGCGUGAGUGACGGUACCUGGAGAAGAAGCACCGGCCAACUACGUGCCAGCAGCCGCGGUAAUACGUAGGGUGCGAGCGUUGUCCGGAAUUACUGGGCGUAAAGAGCUCGUAGGCGGUUUGUCGCGUCGUCUGUGAAAUUCUGCAACUCAAUUGCAGGCGUGCAGGCGAUACGGGCAGACUUGAGUACUACAGGGGAGACUGGAAUUCCUGGUGUAGCGGUGAAAUGCGCAGAUAUCAGGAGGAACACCGGUGGCGAAGGCGGGUCUCUGGGUAGUAACUGACGCUGAGGAGCGAAAGCGUGGGUAGCGAACAGGAUUAGAUACCCUGGUAGUCCACGCCGUAAACGGUGGGUACUAGGUGUGGGUUCCUUUUCACGGGAUCCGUGCCGUAGCUAACGCAUUAAGUACCCCGCCUGGGGAGUACGGCCGCAAGGCUAAAACUCAAAGGAAUUGACGGGGGCCCGC
RNAcentral lists this ribosomal RNA (855 nucleotides) under Gordonia terrae. Its description in RNAcentral is "bacterial SSU rRNA". It matches the Rfam family "Bacterial small subunit ribosomal RNA", at positions 56 to 924 of the family's 1533-position model. The record is from RNAcentral. Lineage: Bacteria; Bacillati; Actinomycetota; Actinomycetes; Mycobacteriales; Gordoniaceae.